Molecule: long non-coding RNA, 605 nt
Organism: Dreissena polymorpha
Lineage: Eukaryota; Metazoa; Mollusca; Bivalvia; Myida; Dreissenidae
Exons: 4
Source: RefSeq, a predicted model, not a curated record
CAUUAAGUGUUUUGUUUCAGCGAAUGUUUCUGGGACCCCGCUGCAGUAUGUUGGAGUAGGUUACAACGUAUUGACUGGUAACCCACUAUCUACGCGUGAUACUGGGUUACUACUGAACAAAAGAAUAAUUCAGCUAACAGGAAGUCCGUCCAACGUUAGAGAAGCAAGUGUCACCCUCAGCCAGCAGUGCGCAUCCACAAUUACGCACACGCUUGUGCACGGAUCUCUAUCGUUGCAAGAGGAAAUGAAACGCUUGGUUAAUCUGUCUGAUUCUCACGGAAGCGUACUGAAGGAUUAUGGUUUUACACUGUCUACCGAUUUUAGUAGUCAAAGGAGAUUUCUAGACGCCGGUCAGUCUAUGUACCACGAUACUCUGACCACUUGUGCAAUUGGAAGUGUCCGUUACUUUGGAAACAGCGCACGUCCAAAUGGGAAUUUCACAGUCUCGCACGAAUUUGCUAAAGCUGUAUGCAAAUUACCAAUUAAAACUCGUUCUACGGAGGCAUAUAUGACGUUCUUGGAUGAAUGGGGAACAGUAAGCUUAUUGUUACAUUUAGGUCAAAAUUAUUACCAUGAUUUAUAUUUUUGAAGCAGAACUGUUUUGC